ACCGUGCAUGGUAGGCAGUUUGACUGGGGCGGUCUCCUCUAAAGUGUAACGGAGGAGUACGAAGGUACGCUAGGUACGGUCGGACAUCGUGCUGUUAGUGCAAUGGCAAAAGCGUGCUUGACUGCGAGACUCACACGUCGAGCAGGUACGAAAGUAGGUCAUAGUGAUCCGGUGGUUCUGUAUGGAAGGGCCAUCGCUCAACGGAUAAAAGGUACUCUGGAUAACAGGCUAAUACCGCCCAAGAGUUCAUAUCGACGGCGGUGUUUGGCACCUCGAUGUCGGCUCAUCACAUCCUGGGGCUGCAGUUGGUCCCAAGGGUAUGGCUGUUCGCCAUUUAAAGUGGUACGUGAGCUGGGUUUAAAACGUCGUGAGACAGUUUGGUCCCUAUCUGCCGUGGGGCGCUGGAAAUUUGAAGGGGG
RNAcentral lists this ribosomal RNA (419 nucleotides) under uncultured bacterium. Its description in RNAcentral is "bacterial LSU rRNA". It matches the Rfam family "Bacterial large subunit ribosomal RNA", at positions 2251 to 2671 of the family's 2925-position model. The record is from RNAcentral.